This 146-nucleotide unclassified non-coding RNA is filed under the name uncultured Derxomyces. RNAcentral's name for it is "sequence contains ITS2". The record is from RNAcentral. Lineage: Eukaryota; Fungi; Basidiomycota; Tremellomycetes; Tremellales.
UAGACCUUCACCCAAUCAUUUUUCAUUAAAUGACUGUCCGGUGCUUUGGACGUCUGCCAUUAACUCUGGCUCGUCUUAAAUGUCUAAGUGGAGCGAUGGCAUGAUAAGUCAUUUGCCUGACCCGUCCACUAUAAUAACACUUAAAG